UGCGUGUCCGUGUGCGUGUGUGUGUGUGUGUGUGUGCACAAGCAAAUUCAAGUUUCGUGCGCACCAAGCACCAAGCAC
RNAcentral lists this microRNA precursor (78 nucleotides) under Ixodes scapularis (black-legged tick). RNAcentral describes it as "miRNA". Lineage: Eukaryota; Metazoa; Arthropoda; Arachnida; Ixodida; Ixodidae. The record is from RNAcentral.